Nymphaea colorata (pocket water lily) is the source of this 2583-nucleotide RNA transcript. It is a transcript of the gene named probable galacturonosyltransferase 10, with no coding region annotated. The record is from RefSeq and is a predicted model, not a curated record. The transcript has 3 exons. Lineage: Eukaryota; Viridiplantae; Streptophyta; Magnoliopsida; Nymphaeales; Nymphaeaceae.
GCCUGCUGUCGCGAGUCGCGAAUGUGCUCGGGAAGUGGGACUGAGACUCUCUAAUCGUCGAGAGGUCGGAGGCGGGAGCAAUCUGUGCCGUUGGAUCGUUUUGCGCCGUCCAAUCUGUCCCUCUGAUUGUCAUUCGAGGAGCUCAUCCCUCCUUCCGAUCUGCGAACGGCAUCCUCCCAAUGGAUUACCGGAGUUUUCCACAAGGUUUCGCUGUAAUAGGCGUUUUGAGCUUCUGUUCGCCCUGAUUUCCGUUGACUGCGGUCCCAUGAAUCUCCAAGAUGCGUUUGGGUAGAGCCUUCUUGCGGAUCAGAACGUUCGUUUCUGAAGAAUAAGAGUUCCAAGACAGGUUUCGGUGGAUUGGGUUCGUGGCGGAUGGUCCAGAUGCAUUCUGUACAUCGGUGUGUUUGUUAGGGAUUGCGGAGAUGAUGAGGCGACGGCAGAUCCGGACGGCUCGCCGGAAGUUCUCCGGUGGGGUAUGCGUUUUCGUAGGACUCGUUAUUUUGAUGUUGAUCGCGAUUUUCAGUCACAGUAGGCAGAAACAUUUUGAGUCGUCAUUUAUUCAGAAAUAUCGAAGAAGCAAUAAUCUUGCAGUGGGAUACAAUGUUACAGAAGAAAUGGUAGGACCCUUUUCAGUCUCUAGACAACUAAAUGAUCAAAUUGCACUUGCAAAAGCUUUAAUUGCAGUGGCCAAAGAACACAAUAACCUCCAAUUUGCUUGGGAACUCAGUGCUCAGAUCCGGAUAUUUCAGCUGCUUCUUUCCAACUCAGCAACAAACCAACCUCCUUCUGCAUUUCAUGCAGAAGUGGAAACAGCUAUUCGUGACAUGUCUUUAUUGAUUCACCAAGCGAAACAGCUUCAUUAUGACAGUGCAACCACAAUCAUGAAAUUGAAGGCCCAGAUCCAAGAUUACAAAGAACAAAUAAGCUCCUUGUCUGACAAGAACACAAAGUCUGGUCAGCAAGCAGCAGAGGCAGUUCCAAAGGGACUGUACUGCCUGGGUGUCAUGCUUACUAUGGACUGGUUCAGGAACUCGAAUUUACAGAGGAAGAACAUGGAGAAAAGAAGAAUUGCCGAGAAGCUCAAUGACAACAAUCUUUACCACUUCUGCAUAUUCUCUGAUAAUCUCUUGGGAACAUCUGUUGUCAUCAACUCCACUUCAAUUAAUGCCCAUCAUCCUGAACUGCUUGUGUUCCAUGUUGUAACUGAUCAAGUUAACUAUGCUGCCAUGAAGGCAUGGUUUUCCCUGAACAGUUUCAGGGGAGUAACAGUUGAUGUUCAGAAACUAGAAGAUCUCACUUGGCUAAAUGCAUCCUAUGUUCCUGUACUAAAACAGCUCCAGGACUCAGAAACCCAGAUGUACUACUUUUCUGGCAAGGCAAAUGUGAAAACUCAGAUAAAAUUCCAAAAUCCGAAGUACUUGUCAAUGCUCAACCACCUUCGCUUCUACAUCCCUGAAUUCUUGCCGCAGUUGAAGAAGGUUGUAUUUCUUGAUGAUGACGUGGUAGUGCAGAAAGAUCUGAUCCCACUUUUCAAAAUUGAUCUCCAUGGCAAUGUGAAUGGGGCUGUAGAGACUUGCAUGGAAACGUUCCACAGGUUCCAUACAUACUUAAACUUCUCUCAUCCAUUAAUCAAGGCACAUUUUGAUCCAGAUGCCUGCGGGUGGGCAUUUGGGAUGAACGUGUUUGAUCUGGUGGAGUGGAGGCGGCGAAAUGUCACAGGGAUCUACCACUAUUGGCAAGAGCGAAAUGUCGACCGGACCUUGUGGAAACUUGGUACAUUACCACCAGGUUUAUUGUCAUUUUAUGGGCUAACAGAGGUGUUGAGUCCAGAAUGGCACAUGCUAGGGCUGGGUUACGAUGAGUCUAAAGAUUUGAAGGCAUUCAGAGAUGGUGCAGUUGUUCACUACAAUGGAAACAGGAAACCAUGGAUGAAGAUUGCUAUCGAAAAGUACAAGGGCCUUUGGGAAAAGUACGUGGACUAUUCACAUCCAUUAUUGCAGCAAUGUAAUGUGCAUUAAGAGAAGAAACUCACGACAGAAUGCAUCCGAAGCAGAUGGUGCUAAUGGUUGUGGUGCUGCCAUUCCACGCAUUGCCAAGGGGUGUCUUCGUGACGGCAUUCAGGAAAAACGAUCGGCAUAUUGCUGGUCUUUUUGUUUUUUCCUCGUAGUUUCUGUAUUUGACUGCUCUUGUGACGUCUGGCAGGAUGUUUCCGUGGUUCAUUUACAAUAAUCAAAGCUGAAAGCGAUCACAAAUGUUUAGAGCGACAAUCAAUAAGCAGCAAGAAAUUUGUGGUCUAGCAGGAAGCUUCCGUGGUUCAUUCACAAUAAUCAAGCUGAAAGAGAUCAGAAGUGCUUAGAGCGACAAUCAAUUAAGCAGAAAGAAAUUGCAGUCUUUCUGUUAAAGUCAUGAGAAGUUCGUUGGUUGUGGUAAGGGAAGUAGAGAAGCUCAGAAAGUAGAAUAUAGAACUUCAGAAAGCACGCAAACAUAGACAAGGAAAUGGUAUUUUUUUAAUACACAUCCAAGCGCCGAAAUUGGUUUAUACCAGAGCUUUCGCCGAGUACAAAGCUAACCAGUUCAAAAUAC